GAUGAACGCUGGCGGCGUGCUUAACACAUGCAAGUCGAGCGAACAGGUCCUGCUCUUGUUGGGUGCUCGUUAGGCGAACGGGGGAGUAACACGCGAGUAUCCCGCCCUUGUCUUAGGGGUAACUUCAGGAGACUGGGGCUAAUACCGGGUAGGAGCUCCUGCUCCAUGGUGGGGGUUGGUAAGAUUCGGCGGUUGGGGCUGGUAUCGCGGCUUACCAGCUUGUUUGGGGGGUGGUGGCUUUCCCAGGCUUUGACGGGUACACGGCCUGAGCGGGUGACCGGCCACAUAGGGUCUGAGAUGCGGCCCAGACUCCUACGGGAGGCAACAGUGCGGAAGACUGCCCGAUGGGCGGAGCCCUAAUGCAGCAACGCCGCGUGCCGUAUGACGGCCUUCGGAUUGUAGACCACAUUCGCCUGUGACGAAGCGUGAGUUGCGGUAACGUGUAAAGAAGCACCGGCUAACUACGUG
RNAcentral lists this ribosomal RNA (468 nucleotides) under uncultured bacterium. Its description in RNAcentral is "partial 16S ribosomal RNA". It matches the Rfam family "Bacterial small subunit ribosomal RNA", at positions 28 to 507 of the family's 1533-position model. The record is from RNAcentral.